Molecule: ribosomal RNA, 253 nt
Filed under: uncultured bacterium
Lineage: Bacteria
Description: partial 16S ribosomal RNA
Rfam family: Bacterial small subunit ribosomal RNA
Source: RNAcentral
UACGUAGGAGGCAAGCGUUGUCCGGAUUUAUUGGGCGUAAAGAGCGUGUAGGCGGCUUUACAGGUCCGUUGUGAAAACUCGAGGCUCAACCUCGAGACGCCGGUGGAAACCGUAAGGCUAGAGUCCGGAAGAGGAGAGUGGAAUUCCUGGUGUAGCGGUGAAAUGCGCAGAUAUCAGGAGGAACACCCGUGGCGAAAGCGGCUCUCUGGGACGGUACUGACGCUGAGACGCGAAAGCGUGGGGAGCAAACAGG